RNAcentral lists this non-coding RNA (140 nucleotides) under Rubrobacter radiotolerans. RNAcentral describes it as "TPP sequence". It matches the Rfam family "TPP riboswitch aptamer (THI element)". Rfam says of the family: Vitamin B(1) in its active form thiamin pyrophosphate (TPP) is an essential coenzyme that is synthesised by coupling of pyrimidine and thiazole moieties in bacteria. The previously detected thiamin-regulatory element, thi box was extended, resulting in a new, highly conserved RNA secondary structure, the THI element, which is widely distributed in eubacteria and also occurs in some archaea. Lineage: Bacteria; Bacillati; Actinomycetota; Rubrobacteria; Rubrobacterales; Rubrobacteraceae. The record is from Rfam by way of RNAcentral.
GAGUCGCACCAGGGGAGCUUCCGGCGACGCCAAAGGGCGUCAGGGGAAGCUGAGAGGGCGCAGGGGAGGGUUCUCCCGCCGCGCCGACCCUCAGACCUGAUCCGGAUAAUGCCGGCGGAGGAAGGCUUUACACAAGACGC